AGAAAAUGGAAGGAAGGGAAGGAUUCUGAGGAGAUAGAGAGAGGAAGAAAGAGCCUUCAUCCAUAGAGGAGCAUGUGCAUGCCAAAUUCUCUAGAGAAUGAAAGAAAGGAUUCUGACUAUUCAAGAUUUUAGAUUGAGUAUCCGAAUGGCAAACCCGGUGAUUGUAUGCUCCCAUACUGUGAAUGGUGUUUCCAAAGUACAUCCAGAAUUGCUAAAAGCAAAAUUAUUCAAGGACUUCUAUGAGCUGUGGCCUCAGAAAUUUCAAUGCAAGACAAAUGGUGUUACCCAGACCUUGUCUUGAAUCAGUGUCAUCAAGGGGCCCAAAGAACCACCUUCUUCAUCAUUCACAAAGUACUUAGACACAGGGCCAAGGCUGUAGACCCUCUGAAAAUCAGACCCACCAUUAGCAGCAACAGCAGAGCAAUUAAGAACAGAGUGGCUGGUGAGGAGCCUGAGGAUUCUAUCCACCAUCAUUGGUGCCUCAGGGUUCUUUGUGCCAAUCUUGGCUGCAAUGUCAGACGAAGAGAGCUUGGCACCUGGACCCUCUCUGGCUAUGAUGUCAAAAACCCCAAGCUUAAUUGCUGAUUGCAGAGACAUGGACAGCGCAGAAGAACCCACCAGCUGCAUGGCAUAGCAGAAGCUUUCUUCUUCCUCUUCCUUUGUAAUUUCAUCCCCAGGCUCAGCAUGAUUUAUUUUGGGAUGGCUUUUUCUCUCCAAUGAAGAAUCCAUUGGACUGUCUAUGUUUACGUUCUGAAACUCAUUGCUAAUGGAGUGGGUUUACUUAUAGCUAGGAAACAUGACAUACAAUUCACGUGGCUCUAGUAUAUAAUAUUAAGACAGUUGGAAUACCAAUUUAGUACUAUAUUGUUAAUAUA
This is a non-coding RNA of Prunus mume (Japanese apricot), 875 nucleotides long. The record is from RefSeq and is a predicted model, not a curated record. Lineage: Eukaryota; Viridiplantae; Streptophyta; Magnoliopsida; Rosales; Rosaceae.